Molecule: unclassified non-coding RNA, 311 nt
Filed under: Fructilactobacillus sanfranciscensis
Lineage: Bacteria; Bacillati; Bacillota; Bacilli; Lactobacillales; Lactobacillaceae
Description: Lactobacillus sanfranciscensis miscellaneous RNA
Rfam family: tRNA (bases 68-143)
Source: RNAcentral
CUAAGGGAUAAUUCGGAACCUUACAUUAAUCAAAAUCUUGGUCAGUUUUGAGAGUAUCUACUCUUAUGGGGAGUUAGCUCAGUUGGGAGAGCGCUCACUUGCUUGCAAGUGAGAAGACGAAGGUUCAAUCCCUCCAUUCUCCAUUGACACGUAAGUGUCAUUUUUGUUCUUUGAAAACUAGAUAAUAUUAUUUUCUGUAAUAAUUAUAUUUUUAUAUAAUUGAACCGAGAAAUAACCAUUGUGCUAUUUUUGAGUUUUUUAAUUAGUUUUAAUCGCUAAAACUCAAAUAAUUUAUAAUCCGUAGGAUUAUA